AGCUCGCUGCAGCCUUGAAUCCUCCGCUCCGCCGCCGCUAGGCCUCGGGGGGGUCGCCGCGCCGCCCGGUCCUGACACCCCUUCCUCCUCCCUUUUUCCUUUUCCUCUUCCCCUUUUCUUCUUUUUCCUUUUUCCCCUCUCUCACUUAGCGCCGCCGCCACCUCCCCCCUCCCGGGUCUCCGUCGGCGGUUCACGUGGUAACUGAAAAGACCGACAGAGGCAGCCAAAAUGGCGGACGCCGAGGGCUUUCCCACCCGGGUCACACCUCGCAACGCGCAGGCGCCGUGACCCGCUCUUCCCCACCCUCCCCGCACCGGAGCCUGCCGGGAAGGCGGAGGCCGGCUCGGCCGGCGGAACCGCUGAGUCCGGGCUUGGCUCUGGCCGGUCCUUCCGAGCGCAGUGCCGGGCGCCUUGGGAGGGCGGCCAACGGCGCUUCCGCCGCCGCCGCCGCCGCCGCCUCCUCGCCGCCAACAGCCUUUCUGCUCCUUCUCGCUAGACCGGCCUUUCACUCUUUGGGGUAGACUCGCCCGAGUUGGUGUGAUCGUAGCUGGAGCAGCGGAUGCCAAAAUGCCAGGGGCGGGGUUUGAAGAACUGUAUGUAGUCGUUCAGGGUCCGAGUGCCUCAAUUGUGAGCAGGGGCGAAGGGUGAGAUGAGAAACGCCUUCGCCUCGGUGGGGACUUGUGAACCGAUCCGAAGAGAAAUCUUCAAGCCUUAGAGGCCGACCGAACUCACUGAGCAAGAUCAGACCUGAGUGGAGACGAUCCCUGCCACCUGCAGACAGUUCAUAACAGUUGACAAUAAAACCUUUACAAAGUGA
Molecule: non-coding RNA, 817 nt
Organism: Peromyscus maniculatus bairdii (prairie deer mouse)
Lineage: Eukaryota; Metazoa; Chordata; Mammalia; Rodentia; Cricetidae
Source: RefSeq, a predicted model, not a curated record